RNAcentral lists this long non-coding RNA (308 nucleotides) under Ananas comosus (pineapple). RNAcentral's name for it is "long non-coding RNA (ACOM_LNC021236)". The record is from RNAcentral. Lineage: Eukaryota; Viridiplantae; Streptophyta; Magnoliopsida; Poales; Bromeliaceae.
CCUAAUUGAUAGGUCACUGAACGCGUUGGAAGCGACGGUUCGUCGAUUCGUUGAGCGGGUGCGACGUUCCGGCUAAAACAAGUGUUGUAGGUUCGUGUUGACCCGGAGAGCCGAGGCGGCUUCCAUAAAUUGUGGGAUCGGAUUCCUAGCAUCGUAACGAAGAACCGAAGACCCUUAAUUUUCGGAUCGCGAAUCGGAGGUCGUAAGGUGGUUGUGCGUGGAUUGGGUCGAGUCGUGCGGCGUGCACCGUGGGAGGCCGAUUGCAAGUGACGACGAGCAAUCGGAACGCUGUAACAGGUGGGUGGUGA